Molecule: ribosomal RNA, 1490 nt
Filed under: metagenome
Description: bacterial SSU rRNA
Rfam family: Bacterial small subunit ribosomal RNA
Source: RNAcentral
AGAGUUUGAUCCUGGCUCAGAAUAAACGCUGGCGGCGUGCCUAACACAUGCAAGUCGCACGAGAACUCUUUAGCUUGCUAAAGAUAGUAAAGUGGCGCACGGGUGAGUAACGCGUGGGUAAUCUACCUUCGAAUCGGGGAUAACAUUGCGAAAGCGAUGCUAAUACCGGAUAAUAUUGAUUUAACUUCGGUUUUUUCAAUCAAAGAUGGCCUCUAUACAUAAGCUAUUGUUUGAAGAUGAGCUCGCGUACCAUUAGCUUGUUGGUGGGGUAAUGGCCUACCAAGGCUACGAUGGUUAGCUGGUCUGAGAGGAUGAUCAGCCACACUGGAACUGACACACGGUCCAGACUCCUACGGGAGGCAGCAGUGAGGAAUUUUGCGCAAUGGGGGAAACCCUGACGCAGCAACGCCGCGUGAGUGAUGAAGGCUUUCGGGUCGUAAAACUCUGUCAAGUGGGAAGAACCUGUCCUGUGCCAAUACCACAGGACACUGACGGUACCACUGAAGGAAGCACCGGCUAACUCCGUGCCAGCAGCCGCGGUAAUACGGGGGGUGCAAGCGUUAUUCGGAAUCAUUGGGCGUAAAGGGCGCGUAGGCGGCCUUGUAAGUCAGAUGUGAAAGCCCGGGGCUUAACCCCGGAAGUGCAUUUGAAACUACAAGACUUGAGUAUGGGAGAGGGAAGUGGAAUUCCUGGUGUAGAGGUGAAAUUCGUAGAUAUCAGGAGGAACAUCAGUGGCGAAGGCGACUUCCUGGACCAAUACUGACGCUAAGGCGCGAAGGCGUGGGUAGCAAACAGGAUUAGAUACCCUGGUAGUCCACGCAGUAAACGUUGAUCACUAGGUGCAGCGGGUAUUGACCCCUGCUGUGCCGUAGUUAACGCAUUAAGUGAUCCGCCUGGGGAGUACGGCCGCAAGGCUAAAACUCAAAGGAAUUGACGGGGGCCCGCACAAGCGGUGGAGCAUGUGGUUUAAUUCGACGCAACGCGAAGAACCUUACCUGGGCUUGAACUGUAGGUAUUAGCUACCUGAAAGGGCUAGUGAUUCUUCUUUGAAGAAACCUAUAGAGGUGCUGCAUGGCUGUCGUCAGCUCGUGUCGUGAGAUGUUGGGUUAAGUCCCGCAACGAGCGCAACCCUUGCCAUUAGUUGUCAGCGAGUUAAGUCGGAUACUUUAAUGGGACUGCCGGUGACGAGCCGGAGGAAGGUGGGGAUGACGUCAAGUCAGCAUGGCCUUUAUGUCCAGGGCUACACACGUGCUACAAUGGGUGGUACAGAGGGAAGCUAAGCCGUGAGGUGGAGCGGAUCCAAAAAGCCAUCCCCAGUUCGGAUUGGAGUCUGCAAUUCGACUCCAUGAAGUUGGAAUUGCAAGUAAUCGCGGAUCAGCAUGCCGCGGUGAAUAUGUUCCCGGGCCUUGUACACACCGCCCGUCACACCAUGGGAGUUGAUUAUACCCGACGUCGCUGGGCUAACCAUUUAUGGGAGCAGGCGCCUAAGG